This 253-nucleotide ribosomal RNA is filed under the name uncultured bacterium. Its description in RNAcentral is "partial 16S ribosomal RNA". It matches the Rfam family "Archaeal small subunit ribosomal RNA", at positions 474 to 727 of the family's 1478-position model. The record is from RNAcentral.
UACCAGCACCCCGAGUGGUCGGGACGAUUAUUGGGCCUAAAGCAUCCGUAGCCGGUUUUACAAGUCCUCCGUUAAAUCCAGCUGCUUAACAGAUGGGCUGCGGAGGAUACUAUAAGACUAGGAGGCAGGAGUGGCAAGCGGUACUCAGUGGGUAGGGGUAAAAUCCGUUGAUCCAUUGAAGACCACCAGUGGCGAAGGCGGCUUGCCAGAAUGCGCUCGACGGUGAGGGAUGAAAGCUGGGGGAGCAAACCGG